UGAGGCUUAAAUUAAAAUAUUGAUUGUUUGCCCUUUACCGACCGACCCUAUCAAUUCGUUGCGCCUGAAAAUCUUUUAUUUGUAUUUACCAGCAAGAUUUUAUUUUAUUUUAUUUUUUCGUUCCUACCAAAAAUCUUAUAUUUGUAUUUCCCGCUCAAAACUAUUUUAUCCGGACUUCUCGGGUUUUAUCUUUAACGUAUAAGGUCCAGUCUGUUUGGUAUCACCUGAGCGUUUGACAUGAACACUUGCAUUUGAAGUUUCAAAAGCGUUUGUUUGAAAUCGAUGUUCAGCAUGUGAACGUUCUGAAAUCAUGAUAUGACGUACGCUAUCUAUACCUUUAUACUUAAAGAGCAGGGUUCAUUUACAAAUAAAUUCGUUUGAUACAAAAUUAUCAAUGUGUGUGCAAAUUAAUUUGUAAACGGACGUUGUAUUCUAUGUAGGGAUGCCUUUUUGUGAUCCGCAGAUCAGGAUGAUUAUGUUAACGAUGCCGCUAUAUUAUUUAUAUCUGAUAUGAAUCAAAACCCUGUAAAGUGGAGAAUAUCUGGCAGUAAAAUCGCCAAGUUGUCCAUACAGAUCAUUUAUAAAUGCGAUGUAAAAUACGUGACAAUUGUCAGAGUUUUAAGUCUUGUAGCAUUUCAGUUUAUUGGAAACAAAGGCACACACUAUGUUUUUAACACUCUAGGGACUUUUCUACUAGUAAUGUAUGUCUGCCCGGACAUAUCUUAUCAGAACAAAAUUAUCUUUUACAGAAAAUCUUAAGGUAAGCAUACAAGGUAUGUAGUAC
RNAcentral lists this long non-coding RNA (784 nucleotides) under Mytilus galloprovincialis (Mediterranean mussel). The record is from RNAcentral. Lineage: Eukaryota; Metazoa; Mollusca; Bivalvia; Mytilida; Mytilidae.